RNAcentral lists this ribosomal RNA (429 nucleotides) under Bacteroidota bacterium. Its description in RNAcentral is "Bacteroidetes bacterium partial 16S ribosomal RNA". It matches the Rfam family "Bacterial small subunit ribosomal RNA", at positions 355 to 776 of the family's 1533-position model. Lineage: Bacteria; Pseudomonadati; Bacteroidota. The record is from RNAcentral.
UAGGGAAUCUUCGGCAAUGGGGGGAACCCUGACCGAGCAACGCCGCGUGAGUGAAGAAGGUUUUCGGAUCGUAAAGCUCUGUUGUUAAGGAAGAACGAGUGGGAGAAUGGAAAGUUCAUACUGUGACGGUACUUAACCAGAAAGGGACGGCUAACUACGUGCCAGCAGCCGCGGUAAUACGUAGGUCCCGAGCGUUGUCCGGAUUUAUUGGGCGUAAAGCGAGCGCAGGCGGUUAGAUAAGUCUGAAGUUAAAGGCAGUGGCUCAACCAUUGUAGGCUUUGGAAACUGUUUAACUUGAGUGCAGAAGGGGAGAGUGGAAUUCCAUGUGUAGCGGUGAAAUGCGUAGAUAUAUGGAGGAACACCGGUAGCGAAAGCGGCUCUCUGGUCUGUAACUGUCGCUGAGGCUCGAAAGCGUGGGGAGCGAACAGG